UGGUGGAGUGAUUUGUCUGCUUAAUUGCGAUAACGAACGAGACCUUGACCUGCUAACCAGGCGCGCGCACCUUGCGGUGCGUGGCGGCUUCUUAGAGGGACUACCGGCGUUUAGCCGAGGGAAGUGAGGCAAUAACA
RNAcentral lists this ribosomal RNA (137 nucleotides) under uncultured eukaryote. Its description in RNAcentral is "partial 18S ribosomal RNA". It matches the Rfam family "Eukaryotic small subunit ribosomal RNA", at positions 1299 to 1458 of the family's 1831-position model. The record is from RNAcentral.